GACGUAGGGCGCGAGCGUUGUCCGGAUUUAUUGGGCGUAAAGAGCUCGUAGGCGGCUUGUCGCGUCGGCUGUGAAAACCCGCGGCUCAACUGUGGGCGGGCAGCUGAUACGGGCAGGCUGGAGUUCGGUAGGGGAGACUGGAAUUCCUGGUGUAGCGGUGAAAUGCGUAGAUAUCGAGAGGAACACCUGCGGCGAAGGCGGGUUGCUGGGCUGACACUGACGCUGAGGCGCGAAAGCUAGGGGGAGCGGACAGG
Molecule: ribosomal RNA, 254 nt
Filed under: uncultured bacterium
Lineage: Bacteria
Description: partial 16S ribosomal RNA
Rfam family: Bacterial small subunit ribosomal RNA
Source: RNAcentral